This 64-nucleotide transfer RNA is filed under the name Scirtidae sp. BMNH 1274304. RNAcentral's name for it is "tRNA-Tyr". The record is from RNAcentral. Lineage: Eukaryota; Metazoa; Arthropoda; Insecta; Coleoptera; Scirtidae.
AAUAAGAUGGCUGAAGAUAGGCAAUAAACUGUAAAUUUAUUUAUGAAUUAAAUUCUCUUAUUAG